This 445-nucleotide ribosomal RNA is filed under the name uncultured bacterium. RNAcentral's name for it is "partial 16S ribosomal RNA". It matches the Rfam family "Bacterial small subunit ribosomal RNA", at positions 354 to 796 of the family's 1533-position model. The record is from RNAcentral.
GUGGGGAAUUUUGGACAAUGGAUGGAAAUCUGAUCCAGCCAUGCCGCGUGCAGGAAGACGGCCCUAUGGGUUGUAAACUGCUUUUAUACGGGAGCAAUAAGGUCUAUGCAUAGAUUGAUGAGAGUACCGUAUGAAUAAGCAUCGGCUAACUCCGUGCCAGCAGCCGCGGUAAUACGGAGGAUGCGAGCGUUAUCCGGAUUUAUUGGGUUUAAAGGGUGCGUAGGCGGCUUUGUAAGUCAGCGGUGAAAUUUUGCAGCUUAACUGUAAAAGCGCCGUUGAUACUGUGAAGCUAGGAUUUGGUUGCUGUGGGCGGAAUGUGUGGUGUAGCGGUGAAAUGCAUAGAGAUCACACAGAAUAUCGAUUGCGAAGGCAACUCACAAAGCCAAUAUUGACGCUGAGGCACGAAAGUGUGGGGAUCAAACAGGAUUAGAUACCCCGGUAGUCC